AGUGACAUAACUAUUUUCAAUUGCAAUUUUACAGAGUUUUACAGUGACAUGCCCUUUCUGAAUAUGCAUAUUCUCCAGAAGAACGACCCUUCGAAGUUGCUGAGCUCAACUUGUUCUCAAUGAAAUCAGUGGUAAAUGUUGAGGUACUGCUUAUAGACUACUUUCUAUGCCACACUAAAGUAGAACAAAGCAGAAAGUUCAUCUAUUUUCUACAGGAUUAGCAAC
Molecule: long non-coding RNA, 225 nt
Filed under: Hordeum vulgare
Lineage: Eukaryota; Viridiplantae; Streptophyta; Magnoliopsida; Poales; Poaceae
Description: long non-coding RNA (HVUL_LNC001106)
Source: RNAcentral